Molecule: ribosomal RNA, 427 nt
Filed under: uncultured bacterium
Lineage: Bacteria
Description: bacterial SSU rRNA
Rfam family: Bacterial small subunit ribosomal RNA
Source: RNAcentral
UGGGGAAUUUUGGACAAUGGGGGAAACCCUGAUCCAGCCAUGCCGCGUGAGUGAAGAAGGCCUUCGGGUUGUAAAGCUCUUUCAGCCGGAACGAAAUGGUCACGGUUAAUACCCGUGACAAAUGACGGUACCGGAAGAAGAAGCACCGGCUAACUACGUGCCAGCAGCCGCGGUAAUACGUAGGGUGCAAGCGUUAAUCGGAAUUACUGGGCGUAAAGCGUGCGCAGGCGGUUUUGUAAGUCAGAUGUGAAAUCCCCGGGCUUAACCUGGGAACUGCGUUUGAAACUACAAGGCUAGAGUGUGGCAGAGGGGGGUGGAAUUCCACGUGUAGCAGUGAAAUGCGUAGAGAUGUGGAGGAACACCGAUGGCGAAGGCAGCCCCCUGGGUUAACACUGACGCUCAGGCACGAAAGCGUGGGGAGCAAACA